GGGUGCGAUCAUACUAGCGCUAAUGCACUGGAUCCCAUCAGAACUCCGCAGUUAAGCGCUCUUGGGCUAGAGUAGUGCUGGGAUGGGUGACCUCUCGGGAAGUCUUAGUGUUGCACCCU
This is a non-coding RNA of Picea glauca (white spruce), 119 nucleotides long. NCBI's taxonomy places the organism in Eukaryota, Viridiplantae, Streptophyta, Pinopsida, Pinales, Pinaceae. The record is from Rfam.